Molecule: ribosomal RNA, 629 nt
Filed under: Sebacinales sp. SGT-2012
Lineage: Eukaryota; Fungi; Basidiomycota; Agaricomycetes; Sebacinales
Description: eukaryotic LSU rRNA
Rfam family: 5.8S ribosomal RNA (bases 137-290)
Source: RNAcentral
AUCUCACACACCUUGUGCACCCAUGACUCUGAGUACCGCUUUGCAUGGGCCCCCUUAAAGGGCCCUGGUACUCGAGUACUUUACAACACACUCUGAAUGUAAUGGAAUGUCUAUUUGUACAAUGUACAACUAAAACAACUUUCAACAACGGAUCUCUUGGCUCUCGCAUCGAUGAAGAACGCAGCGAAAUGCGAUAAGUAAUGUGAAUUGCAGAAUUCAGUGAAUCAUCGAGUCUUUGAACGCACCUUGCACCCCUUGGUAUCCCAAAGGGUACACCCGUUUGAGUGUCAUUGUAAUCUCACCUCUUUGGCUUUUUGUCAAUCAGUGUGGACUUGGAUGCUGUCGUGUAACAAACGGCUCGUCUGAAAUGCCUGAGUGUACCCUGCUUUGCAGCGUAUUCGGUGUGAUAAACAUCUUCACCGGAGUUGACUUUYGGGUCGCGCUUGUACUGAUUGGCUCUAUGCUUCUAACCGUCCUGACAAGGCCAUCUUUGACAAUUUGACCUCAAAUCGGGUGGGACUACCCGCUGAACUUAAGCAUAUCAUUAAGCGGAGGAAAAGAAACUAACAAGGAUUCCCCUAGUAACGGCGAGUGAAGAGGGAAAAGCUCAAAUUUUGAAUCUGGUGUCU